UACGGAAGGCAGCAGUGGGGAAUAUUGCACAAUGGGCGAAAGCCUGAUGCAGCGACGCCGCGUGAGGGAUGACGGCCUUCGGGUUGUAAACCUCUUUCAGUAGGGAAGAAGCGAAAGUGACGGUACCUGCAGAAGAAGCACCGGCUAACUACGUGCCAGCAGCCGCGGUAAUACGUAGGGUGCGAGCGUUAUCCGGAAUUAUUGGGCGUAAAGAGCUCGUAGGCGGUUUGUCGCGUCUGUCGUGAAAGUCCGGGGCUUAACCCCCGGAUCUGCGGUGGGUACGGGCAGACUAGAGUGCAGUAGGGGAGACUGGAAUUCCUGGUGUAGCGGUGGAAUGCGCAGAUAUCAGGAGGAACACCGAUGGCGAAGGCAGGUCUCUGGGCUGUAACUGACGCUGAGGAGCGAAAGCAUGGGGAGCGAACAGGGAUUAGAUACC
This 436-nucleotide ribosomal RNA is filed under the name uncultured bacterium. Its description in RNAcentral is "bacterial SSU rRNA". It matches the Rfam family "Bacterial small subunit ribosomal RNA", at positions 340 to 786 of the family's 1533-position model. The record is from RNAcentral.